Molecule: long non-coding RNA, 820 nt
Filed under: Coturnix japonica (Japanese quail)
Lineage: Eukaryota; Metazoa; Chordata; Aves; Galliformes; Phasianidae
Description: lncRNA (ENSCJPG00005016463.1)
Source: RNAcentral
UUUAAAACUAACAAAAUCCAUAAAAUAAUCAAUUCUGAGUACAUAUGAAGCACAUUUUGAAACUGAGGAUUUUGCAUCUACGCGUCAUACAAAAAGCUGCCUGUUGAGUUUACAGGCAUAUUUUAUUCUUUAUUUGCUGCUGUUUCUGAGACAUCCAAGUUGGGCCUGCCAUGUAUUAGAGCUGUUUCUGUGGCUACUGCCUGAUCCUCACCUACUGUAUGUGACUAACUAGCUCCACCUGAGUGGAGAUAAACUACUGGAAUUCUUAUUACUGCACUGUGACAAAAUAGUUUAAAUCACAGCCUUCAAGUAACUGUAGAAAACAACUGUUUAUACAAGGUAUUUUCUCCUGCUUAACAUAAUACCAUAUACUAUUUGUUACCAGUUUCAAAUUUCACAUUAUUUUUUGGAAAGUGGUAAACAAGUGGUAAAUGCUAAUUUAUCUGGAAAAAAAGAAAUGGACAAAAAUUUGAUUUGUGAAAGAAAGAGAGGAACUCUGGAGUGAUGUGGAUUGAUUUUUAGUGGAGGAGGAGUGAAUUGAAUGAUAAAACUGAAUUUGUUUGCUAUCAUUAUACAUGUGGCAUAAAUACCCUGUGAGGCUGCGUAUAAUCAAAUUGUAGGGAGAAAUUGGGUGGGAUAAAUGUUGAGAGGACAUUCAUUAGUUUAAGAAGGUCUGGCUGGAAGCGUAAAAGGAACUGACAUGGAAUGGGGAGCUAUGAUAAUGCACAUGAAGAAAUCCAAUGAAUACUAAGAAGAGUGUAGUGUGGAGAAAAUAGCUGGAGAAAACCAAGGCAGGUGUUUAUUUCUGACAAAAUUUUGU